RNAcentral lists this ribosomal RNA (866 nucleotides) under Amanita sp. Its description in RNAcentral is "partial large subunit ribosomal RNA". It matches the Rfam family "Eukaryotic large subunit ribosomal RNA", at positions 75 to 928 of the family's 3401-position model. Lineage: Eukaryota; Fungi; Basidiomycota; Agaricomycetes; Agaricales; Amanitaceae. The record is from RNAcentral.
UUCCCUUAGUAACUGCGAGUGAAGAGGGAAAAGCUCAAAUUUAAAAUCUGGCAGUGUUUCACUGUCCGAGUUGUAACCUAGAGAAGUGUAACCUGUGCUGGACCGUGUAUAAGUUUCCUGGAAUGGAGCAUCACAGAGGGUGAGAAUCCCGUCUUUGACAUGGACUACCAGUGCAUUGUGGUUGUGCUCUCAACGAGUCGAGUUGUUUGGGAAUGCAGCUCUAAAUGGGUGGUAAAUUCCAUCUAAAGCUAAAUAUUGGCGAGAGACCGAUAGCGAACAAGUGCCGUGAGGGAAAGAUGAAAAGAACUUUGGAAAGAGAGUUAAACAGUAUGUGAAAUUGUUGAAAGGGAAACGUUUGAAGUCAGUCGCGUUAGCUGGGGAUCAGCCUGACAUUGUUGGGUGCACUUCCUGGUUGACGGGCCAACAUCAGUUUUGACUGCCAGAAAAAGGCCAAGGGAAUGUGGCACCUUUGGGUGUGUUAUAGCCUUUGGUCAUAUAUGGUGGUUGGGACUGAGGAAUGCAGUGUGCCGAAAGGCCGGGUUUCGACCACGUUCACACUGAGGAUGUUGGCAUAAUGGCUUUAAGCGACCCGUCUUGAAACACGGACCAAGGAGUCUAACAUGCAUGCGAGUGUUUGGGUGGAAAACCCUUACGCGUAAUGAAAGUGAAAGUUGAGAUCCCUGUCGUGGGGAGCAUCGACGCCCGGACCAGAACUUUUGGGACGGAUCUGCGGUAGAGCACGUAUGUUGGGACCCGAAAGAUGGUGAACUAUGCCUGAAUAGGGUGAAGCCAGAGGAAACUCUGGUGGAGGCUCGUAGCAAAUCUGACGUGCAAAUCGAUCGUCAAAUUUGGGUAUAGGGGCGAAA